GACGAACGCUGGCGGCGUGCUUAACACAUGCAAGUCGAACGGAAAGGCCCUGCUUUUGUGGGGUGCUCGAGUGGCGAACGGGUGAGUAACACGUGAGUAACCUGCCCUUGACUUUGGGAUAACUUCAGGAAACUGGGGCUAAUACCGGAUAGGAGCUCCUGCUGCAUGGUGGGGGUUGGAAAGUUUCGGCGGUUGGGGAUGGACUCGCGGCUUAUCAGCUUGUUGGUGGGGUAGUGGCUUACCAAGGCUUUGACGGGUAGCCGGCCUGAGAGGGUGACCGGCCACAUUGGGACUGAGAUACGGCCGAGGCUCCUACGGGAGGCAGCAGUGGGGAAUAUUGCACAAUGGGCGGAAGCCUGAUGCAGCAACGCCGCGUGCGGAAUGACGGCCUUCGGGUUGUAAACCGCUUUCGCCUGUGACGAAGCGUGAGUGACGGUAAUGGGUAAAGAAGCACCGGCUAACUACG
RNAcentral lists this ribosomal RNA (466 nucleotides) under uncultured bacterium. Its description in RNAcentral is "partial 16S ribosomal RNA". It matches the Rfam family "Bacterial small subunit ribosomal RNA", at positions 28 to 505 of the family's 1533-position model. The record is from RNAcentral.